RNAcentral lists this long non-coding RNA (1139 nucleotides) under Mus spicilegus (steppe mouse). Its description in RNAcentral is "lncRNA (ENSMSIG00000031758.1)". The record is from RNAcentral. Lineage: Eukaryota; Metazoa; Chordata; Mammalia; Rodentia; Muridae.
UAUCUAUCUAUCUAUUUACUUUCAUUUACUUAUUUUUGAGAAUAGGUCUCACUAUGUAGCUAUCAAUGGCCUGGAACUGGCUAUGUAGGCCAGGCUGGCAUUGAACUCAAAGAGAUCCUCCUGCCUCUACCUUCUAAAUGCUGGGAUUUAGAGGUGUUUGCCCCCACACCUGACCCUCUCUUUUAAAACUUUUAUUUGGGCCUGGAAGGAUGGCUCAGUGGUUAAGAACACUGGCUGUUCUUCCAGAGGAUCCAGGUUCAAUUCCCAGUACCCACAUGGCAGCUCACACCUGUCUAUAACUCCAGGUCCAGGGGACCCGACUUCACAGAGACCUGCAUGCAGGCAAAACACCAUGCACAUAAAAUAAAAUAGUUCAACAAGCCCUUUAUUUUAUGUGGUGUGUGUCUGAAUAAGAGCACACAUGUAACACAGUUUAUGUGUAGAGAUCAGAGAACAGGUCUCGGGGUGAUUCUACUGUAGGAUCCAUGAGCUGAUCUAGUUUACCAGAUUUGCUCUGACCCCACCAGCUAUCUCACCAGCCAGCCAACACACACACUAGUGUGUGUGUGUCUGUGUGUGUGUGUGUGUGUGUGUGUGUGUGUGUGUGUGUGUGUGUGUGAGGCAGGGUCUCAUGUAGCCUAGCUGAUCUUGAAUUAGCUGUGUAGCUGAAGAUGAUCUUUGACUCCUGAUUUUUCCCAAACUCUUCUCCAGUGCCGGGAUCAGACUUGACACCAAGAUUAGCGGUUCCUCUUUCUGAAGGUGGCUUUUGCUUUAUCCUGCUGGAGGAUCUCUCACAAGGGCCCAGCUCUUCCUUUAUGUGUCCUGCAACCACGCCUAAACAGUCACCCCUGCCCACUUCCCUCCCUACCCACUUUCCCAGAGCAAGAACAAGAGAACAAACAAGACAAACCCAGAGGCGACGGUAGUGGCAGCAACGAGGGAGACAGGGAACCGGCCUUCAUUCCCCGGCUUCCCUGAUCCCGACCUUAAUCCCUGCUCAGCAUCCUGUCAGCCGGCUGUUCUGAGCUGACAUUGCUGCAGGCACCUUCUCCGCAUCCCUUCCUCAGAUCUACCUCCUCUGGGGACUUUUAAAGAGGAGCCCGAGGUUUCUCUGUUACAGGCCGAUUCGCUGGCUGCCC